Molecule: ribosomal RNA, 289 nt
Filed under: uncultured bacterium
Lineage: Bacteria
Description: partial 16S ribosomal RNA
Rfam family: Bacterial small subunit ribosomal RNA
Source: RNAcentral
AGAGUUUGAUCAUGGCUCAGGACGAACGCUGGCGGCGUGCCUAACACAUGCAAGUCGAACGGAGAUAUUUAGAGCUUGCUUUGGAUAUCUUAGUGGCGGACGGGUGAGUAACGCGUGAGUAACCUGCCUCUUAGAGGGGGAUAACGUUCUGAAAAGAACGCUAAUACCGCAUGAUAUUGCGAAACCGCAUGGUUUUGCAAUCAAAGGAGCAAUCCGCUGAGAGAUGGACUCGCGUCCGAUUAGAUAGUUGGCGGGGUAACGGCCCACCAAGUCGACGAUCGGUAGCCGG